RNAcentral lists this ribosomal RNA (253 nucleotides) under uncultured bacterium. Its description in RNAcentral is "partial 16S ribosomal RNA". It matches the Rfam family "Bacterial small subunit ribosomal RNA", at positions 524 to 776 of the family's 1533-position model. The record is from RNAcentral.
UACGUAGGGGGCUAGCGUUGUCCGGAUUUAUUGGGCGUAAAGAGCGUGUAGGCGGCCAGGUAGGUCUGGUGUGAAAACUCGAGGCUUAACCUCGAGAUGUCAUCGGAAACCAUUUGGCUAGAGUCCGGAAGAGGAGAGUGGAAUUCCUGGUGUAGCGGUGAAAUGCGCAGAUAUCAAGAGGAACACCAGUGGCGAAGGCGAGUCCCUGGACAACACCUGACACUGAGGCACGAAAGCUAGGGGAGCAAACAGG